GUGCUUGUUACAGCAGCACAUACUCUAAAAUUGGAACAAUACAAAUAAGAUUAGCAUCGCCACUGCAUAAGGAUGACACGUAAAUUCAUGAAGCAGUCCGUAUUUUU
Hippopotamus amphibius kiboko is the source of this 107-nucleotide small nuclear RNA. The record is from RefSeq and is a predicted model, not a curated record. NCBI's taxonomy places the organism in Eukaryota, Metazoa, Chordata, Mammalia, Artiodactyla, Hippopotamidae.